Molecule: ribosomal RNA, 400 nt
Filed under: uncultured bacterium
Lineage: Bacteria
Description: bacterial SSU rRNA
Rfam family: Bacterial small subunit ribosomal RNA
Source: RNAcentral
UGGGGAAUAUUGGACAAUGGGGGAAACCCUGAUCCAGCAAUGCCGCGUGAGUGAAGAAGGCCUUAGGGUUGUAAAGCUCUUUCAGUAGGGACGAUAAUGACGGUACCUACAGAAGAAGCCCCGGCUAACUCCGUGCCAGCAGCCGCGGUAAGACGGAGGGGGCUAGCGUUGUUCGGAAUUACUGGGCGUAAAGGGCGCGUAGGCGGCCAAUCAAGUUAGGCGUGAAAUCCCUGGGCUUAACCUAGGAACUGCGUUUAAUACUGUUUGGCUAGAGAUUGGUAGAGGAAAGUGGAAUUCCUAGUGUAGAGGUGAAAUUCGUAGAUAUUAGGAAGAACACCAGAGGCGAAGGCGGCUUUCUGGACCAAUACUGACGCUGAGGCGCGAAAGCGUGGGGAGCAAA